GUCUGAUGCCCAGCUGACAUCUGGAGGACAGGAGUGCAGUGUGAAGAGGUGAAGGCAGGGAAACAAGUGGCCCGCCCGGGGCCUCGAGGCUGGGCUAGCAAAGCUGAGAAUAUCAGUCGCCCAUUCUCCCCUGGUCACCAGCCCUGAUUUGUCCUUGGAGCUUCAAAUAGUGUCUUUGAGAAGUGAUGCUGACAUCACCAUAGUUAGCGUUUGCUGAGAGCCAGACUCCGUGCUGGGGGACCAGGGUGGGGAGAGUGAUAAUUUGCAGACCAGUAUAUGAAAGAGCAUCUCACCUCAACACGGCAUUUACGGAAGGCCCAGGGAGUCAGAGCGGGUGGUGGGAGCCCAGGCCCCUGGGCAUCAGGCCAGGCUUCCCAAUGGGACGUUGAGACCUUGCAGGACUCGUGAAAACCUCGAAGCUGCCAUGACCUGCAAGAAUGCAACAAUGGUGGAAUUGCAGGUACUGUCUGGAUGCUGUGCUCAGCCAGAAAAGCCCCCUGAGGUGCCUCUCUUCCAGCGUACUCCAUCCAGCCCCCCAGGAGCGUCAGGACCAUCUCUUCUCUUAUGCUUCCUUUGGUGUAGGUGGAUAUUCCACAGCUGGCACCUUAUUUGAUUUCCAGCUUUUAAAGUGUUGUCUCAGUUUCCUUACCUGUAAAAUGGGGCCAAUAAUAUUUACCUCAGUUCUCAGGAGGGCCAAACAGGGGUUGGCAGCAGUUUGUCACCUGCUGAGUGCCCUGGGGACCCUUUGUGCCUGAGUCGGUGUGGGGCACGACUCUGGGUCAGAGCCUGGAAGGGGUGGCAGGGGUCCAGGUACCUGGUGUUUGGGAAGGAUGCAGUGGAUAUUAGCCCGACAGGCAGUCCCAGGGCUGGUUUGGAGGCCAACUGGAGAGAGACUAGAGCCGGAGGCUGAUGGUCUUGGUCUGGGGUCUUGGUCUUGAGAUGCUGGGCUACUGUGGGAGCUCGUGGAGACAGGACCUGGCCUGGACCCUGGCAAACCCUCCUCCAGACAGAGAAACUGGGUGGACGUAUUGCUGAGAGCUGGGAGCCCCCUGAGUAACCGGGGUGGUGGGGGGCAGGCUGUGGUCCUGCAGGCACAUGAGGCAGAGGGAGUGCAGAGCCGCCCUGCCUUGGCACUUGAUGCCAAUGUGGUGUCACCAAGGCUGGGUGGGAGAGCUAUGAGAUGCUGCAUCAGCAAAUGGGAG
This 1202-nucleotide long non-coding RNA is filed under the name Equus caballus (horse). Its description in RNAcentral is "lncRNA (ENSECAG00000030004.3)". Lineage: Eukaryota; Metazoa; Chordata; Mammalia; Perissodactyla; Equidae. The record is from RNAcentral.